This 403-nucleotide ribosomal RNA is filed under the name uncultured bacterium. Its description in RNAcentral is "partial 16S ribosomal RNA". It matches the Rfam family "Bacterial small subunit ribosomal RNA", at positions 30 to 526 of the family's 1533-position model. The record is from RNAcentral.
AUUGAACGCUGGCGGCAGGCCUAACACAUGCAAGUCGAGCGAGCGGCGGACGGGUGAGUAAUGUAUGGGGACUGCUCGAUAGAGGGGGAUAACUACUGGAAACGGUAGCUAAUACCGCAUACUACCGGUUAACCCAUAUGGGACUAGCUAGUAGGUGAGGUAAUGGCUCAACUAGGCGACGAUCCCUAGCUGGUCUGAGAGGAUCAUCAGCCCCACUGGGACUGAGAGACGGCCCCGACACCUCCGGAGACCGCAGUCUUCAGUCUUGCGCCAUGGGCGCAAGCCUGCUUCAGCCCUGCCGCGUGUGUGCAUAUGGCCCUAGGGUUCUACGAUACUUUCAGUCGGGGGGCGUUACCGACAGAAGAAGCACCGGCUAACUCCGUGCCAGCAGCCGCGGUAAUUC